AACGAACGCUGGCGGCAUGCCUAACACAUGCAAGUCGAACGAGACCUUCGGGUCUAGUGGCGCACGGGUGCGUAACGCGUGGGAACCUGCCCUUAGGUUCGGAAUAACUCCCCGAAAGGGGUGCUAAUACCGGAUAAUGUCUUCGGACCAAAGAUUUAUCGCCUUUGGAUGGGCCCGCGUUGGAUUAGCUAGUUGGUAGGGUAAAAGCCUACCAAGGCGACGAUCCAUAGCUGGUCUGAGAGGAUGAUCAGCCACACUGGGACUGGGACACGGCCCAGACUCCUACAGGAGGCAGCAGUGGGGAAUAUUGGACAAUGGGCGAAAGCCUGAUCCAGCAAUGCCGCGUGAGUGAUGAAGGCCUUAGGGUUGUAAAGCUCCUUUACCCGGGAUGAUAAUGACAGUACCGGGAGAAUAAGCUCCGGCUAACUCCGUG
This 433-nucleotide ribosomal RNA is filed under the name uncultured bacterium. RNAcentral describes it as "partial 16S ribosomal RNA". It matches the Rfam family "Bacterial small subunit ribosomal RNA", at positions 29 to 507 of the family's 1533-position model. The record is from RNAcentral.